Long non-coding RNA from Sander lucioperca (pikeperch), 88 nucleotides. RefSeq lists it as uncharacterized. The record is from RefSeq and is a predicted model, not a curated record. The transcript has 3 exons. NCBI's taxonomy places the organism in Eukaryota, Metazoa, Chordata, Actinopteri, Perciformes, Percidae.
UUUUGUGUGUGUUCGUGACUGAUGGGAACAACAAUCUUUGACAUCGGUCCAGUAUUAAGAGAGAACGCUGCUGUCGGCAGUCAGCGAA